GUUCACACUUCAGCAGUACAUAUACUAAAAUUGUGAACAAUAGAGAGAAGAUUAAUAUGGUCCCUGUGCAAGGAUGACAUGCAAAUUCUUGAAGCUAUUUCUUUUUCA
Small nuclear RNA from Ictidomys tridecemlineatus (thirteen-lined ground squirrel), 108 nucleotides. The record is from Ensembl. NCBI's taxonomy places the organism in Eukaryota, Metazoa, Chordata, Mammalia, Rodentia, Sciuridae.